RNAcentral lists this ribosomal RNA (429 nucleotides) under Chloroflexota bacterium. RNAcentral describes it as "Chloroflexi bacterium partial 16S ribosomal RNA". It matches the Rfam family "Bacterial small subunit ribosomal RNA", at positions 355 to 776 of the family's 1533-position model. The record is from RNAcentral. Lineage: Bacteria; Bacillati; Chloroflexota.
UGGGGAAUAUUGCACAAUGGGCGCAAGCCUGAUGCAGCCAUGCCGCGUGUGUGAAGAAGGCCUUCUGGUUGUAAAGCACUUUCAGCGGGGAGGAAGGCGUUAAAGUUAAUACCUUUGCUCAUUGACGUUACCCGCAGAAGAAGCACCGGCUAACUCCGUGCCAGCAGCCGCGGUAAUACGGAGGGUGCAAGCGUUAAUCGGAAUUACUGGGCGUAAAGCGCACGCAGGCGGUUUGUUAAGUCAGAUGUGAAAUCCCCGGGCUCAACCUGGGAACUGCAUCUGAUACUGGCAAGCUUGAGUCUCGUAGAGGGGGGUAGAAUUCCAGGUGUAGCGGUGAAAUGCGUAGAGAUCUGGAGGAAUACCGGUGGCGAAGGCGGCCCCCUGGACGAAGACUGACGCUCAGGUGCGAAAGCGUGGGGAGCAAACAGG